CGGGGGGAGAGGAGGGGCGGGGCCGCGGGAGGGGAGGGGCCGGGCCGCGCGGAGGGGCUUUAGUCGUUGGACCUAGGCAGUGGCGGCGUCCAGUAUUAUAGAUGAGAAAGCUGAAGUGACCGCCCAAGAGCUGAGAUCUGAUCCCAAGUUGGCCGAGACCGGCAGAAGUGGAGGGCGACUGGAGGAGCUGGAUGACUCGGGAACGGAAGCGCGAGCUCCUUGAUGCCCCUGCCCUCAGGGCAGUCAGGGGACAGGACCCUGCCCUCUGGGCUUUUGGGAUUUCCGGGUGGCGUCUAUCGCCUGCCCAAGGUCACCAACCGCCCUCAACUCGAGUGCCCUGGUGCCGGAUGUGGCCGAGGUCUGGUCAACGUCAAGGAACACAGAGUACACGUUGAAAGGCAGCCAGCCACCGACGCCUGUCAAAUUUACAGGCCCCAGAUGGAGAACUUAAGAUGGAGAGAAGUCUUUUCUUCCCCCUCCACGACGAACAGGUGGAUUCAGACCUGAGGUGGGGAGCCAAGUCAUGGGGCCAGGCCAGCCAGGGAGGGAACCUGGAUCUGAUCUUCCAACAAAGCCGUGGGGCUUCAGAACAGACAGAAAUGGAAAGAAAGUCGGCUCAGAUUGGUUCCUCCACGAAGAACUGUUCUAACGGCCUGGGCUCAGCCACGAGUGAGCCAGGUGCACCUGCUCACCGGUCCAGAGAAGGGUGUGGGCAAGUCGAGCUGCCUUGUUACAGACUGACAGGUUCUCUAUAGUCUCUUUCUUCUCUUUUGGGGAGACUAUGGUAAAAAGUCAUUUACUAAGAAGUGAUGGAUAUUGGUCGAGGCUCAGUUACUUUUGUGGUGAGCUAUUCUAUAUGUUGGAG
RNAcentral lists this long non-coding RNA (865 nucleotides) under Equus asinus (donkey). Its description in RNAcentral is "lncRNA (ENSEASG00005029382.1)". Lineage: Eukaryota; Metazoa; Chordata; Mammalia; Perissodactyla; Equidae. The record is from RNAcentral.